This 437-nucleotide ribosomal RNA is filed under the name uncultured Methylobacterium sp. RNAcentral's name for it is "bacterial SSU rRNA". It matches the Rfam family "Bacterial small subunit ribosomal RNA", at positions 43 to 526 of the family's 1533-position model. Lineage: Bacteria; Pseudomonadati; Pseudomonadota; Alphaproteobacteria; Hyphomicrobiales; Methylobacteriaceae. The record is from RNAcentral.
CAGGCCUAACACAUGCAAGUCGAGCGGACCUUUCGGGGUCAGCGGCGGACGGGUGAGUAACGCGUGGGAACGUGCCUUCCGGUUCGGAAUAACCCUGGGAAACUAGGGCUAAUACCGGAUACGCCCUUAUGGGGAAAGGUUUACUGCCGGAAGAUCGGCCCGCGUCUGAUUAGCUAGUUGGUGGGGUAACGGCCUACCAAGGCGACGAUCAGUAGCUGGUCUGAGAGGAUGAUCAGCCACACUGGGACUGAGACACGGCCCAGACUCCUACGGGAGGCAGCAGUGGGGAAUAUUGGACAAUGGGCGCAAGCCUGAUCCAGCCAUGCCGCGUGAGUGAUGAAGGCCUUAGGGUUGUAAAGCUCUUUUAUCCGGGACGAUAAUGACGGUACCGGAGGAAUAAGCCCCGGCUAACUUCGUGCCAGCAGCCGCGGUAAUAC